CUACGGGUGGCUCCAGUGAGGAAUAUUGCACAAUGGGGGGAACCCUGAUGCAGCAACGCCGCGUGGAGGAUGACGCAUUUCGGUGUGUAAACUCCUUUUAUAUGUCAAGAAAAUGACGGUAGCAUAUGAAUAAGCACCGGCUAACUCCGUGCCAGCAGCCGCGGUAAUACGGAGGGUACAAGCGUUACUCGGAAUCACUGGGCGUAAAGGACGCGUAGGCGGGUUGGAAAGUCAGGUGUGAAAUCCUACAGCUUAACUGUAGAACUGCACUUGAAACUUCUAAUCUAGAGUAUGGGAGGGGGAGAUGGAAUUAGUGGUGUAGGGGUAAAAUCCGUAGAUAUCACUAGGAAUACCUAAAGCGAAGGCGAUCUCCUGGAACAUUACUGACGCUAAGGCGUGAAAGCGUGGGGAGCAAACAGGAUUAGAUACCCUGGUAGUC
Molecule: ribosomal RNA, 439 nt
Filed under: uncultured bacterium
Lineage: Bacteria
Description: partial 16S ribosomal RNA
Rfam family: Bacterial small subunit ribosomal RNA
Source: RNAcentral